AGAUUGAACGCUGGCGGCAGGCCUAACACAUGCAAGUCGAGCGGCAGCACGGGUACUUGUACCUGGUGGCGAGCGGCGGACGGGUGAGUAAUGCCUAGGAAUCUGCCUGGUAGUGGGGGAUAACGCUCGGAAACGGACGCUAAUACCGCAUACGUCCUACGGGAGAAAGCAGGGGACCUUCGGGCCUUGCGCUAUCAGAUGAGCCUAGGUCGGAUUAGCUAGUUGGUGAGGUAAUGGCUCACCAAGGCGACGAUCCGUAACUGGUCUGAGAGGAUGAUCAGUCACACUGGAACUGAGACACGGUCCAGACUCCUACGGGAGCAGCAGUGGGGAAUAUUGCGCAAUGGGCGAAAGCCUGACGCAGCCAUGCCGCGUGAAUGAUGAAGGUCUUAGGA
RNAcentral lists this ribosomal RNA (395 nucleotides) under uncultured soil bacterium. RNAcentral describes it as "bacterial SSU rRNA". It matches the Rfam family "Bacterial small subunit ribosomal RNA", at positions 26 to 422 of the family's 1533-position model. The record is from RNAcentral.